CGUGGUGGUGGUAGUAGUAGUAAUGAUGAUGGUAGUGAUAGCAGUUUAGUGAUGGUGGUGGUAGUAGUAGUUGUAAUGAUGAUGGUAGUGACAGCACAGUAGUAAUGAUGAUGGUAGAGAUAGCAGUUUAGUGAUGGUGGUGGUGGUGGUAGUAGUGGUAAUGAUGAUGGUAGUGAUAGCAGUUUAGUGAUAUGGUGGUAGUAGUAGAAUUGAUGAUGGUAGUGAUAGCAGUUUAGUAAUGGUGGUGGUAGUAGUAGUAAUGAUGAUGGUAUUGAUAGCAGUUAAGUGAUGAUGGUAGUAGUAGUAACGAUGAUGGUAAUGAUAGCAGUUUAGUUAUGAUGGUGGUGGUAAUAGUAAUAAUGAUGAUGGUAGUGAUAGCAAUUUAGUGAUGGUGGUGGUGGUAGUAGUAAUGAUGAUGGUAUUGAUAGCAGUUAAGUGAUGAUGGUAGUAAUAGUAAUGAUGAUGGAAGUGAUUGCAGUUUAGUGAUGGUGGUGGUAUUAGUAGUAGAAUGAUGAUGGUAGUGAUAGCAGUUUAGUGAUGGUGGUUGUAGUAGUAGAAUGUUCAUGGUAGUGAUAGCAGUUUAGUGAUGGUGGUGGUAGUAGCAGUAAUGAUGAUGGUAGUGAUAGCAGUUUAGUGAUGUGGUGGUAGUAGUAGAAUUGAUGAUGGUAGUGAUAGCAAUUUAGUGAUUGUGAUGGUGGAAGAAGUAGUAAUGAUGAUGGUAGUGAUAGCAGUUUAGUGAUGGUGGUGGUAGUAGUAGUGAUGUUGAUAUUCAUAGCAGUUUAGUGAUGGUGGUAGUAGUAGUAAUGAUGAUGGUAGUGAUAGCAGUUUAGUGAUGGUGGUGGUGGUAGUAUUAGUAGUAAUGAUGAUGGUAGUGAUACCAGUUUAGUGGUGGUGGUAGUGGCAGUAAUGAUGAUGGUAGUGAUAGCAGUUUAGUGAUGUGGUGGUAGUAGUAGAUUUGAUGAUGGUAGUCAUAGCAGUUUAGUGAUGUUGAAAGAAGUAGUAAUGAUGAUGGUAGUGAUAGCAUUUUAGUGAUGUUAGUGGUAGUAGUAGUAAUGAUGUUGGUAUUCAUAGCAGUAUAGUGAUGGUGGUAGUAGUAGUAAUGAUGAUGGUAGUGAUAGCAGUUUAGUGAUGGUGGUGGUGGUAGUAUUAGUAGUAAUGAUGAUGGUAGUGAUACCAGUUUAGUGACGGUGAAGGUAAUAGUAAUGAUGAUGGUAGUGACACCAGUUUAGUGGUGGUGGUAGUAGUGGUAAUGAUGAUGGAAGUGAUAGCAGUUUAGUGAUAGUGCUGGUAUUAGUAUUAAUGAUGAUGGUAGUAACAGCAGUUUAGUGAUGGAUGUGGUGUUAGUAGUAGUAAUGAUGAUGGUAGUGAUAGCAGUUUAUUAAUGGUAGUGGUGGUAGUAGUAAUGAUGAUGGUAGUUAUAGCAGUUUAGUGAUUGUGGUCGUAGUAGUAGUAGUAGUAAUGAUUAUGGAAGUUAUAGCAGUUUAGUGAUGGUGGUGGUAGUAGCAGUAAUGAUGAUGGUAGUGAUAGCAGUUUAGGUAUGGUGGUGGUAAUAGAAGUAAUGAUGAUGGUAGUGAUAGCAGUUUAGUGAUGGUGAUGUAGUAGUAGUAGUAAUGAUGAUGGUAGUAAUAGCAUUUUAGUGAUGGAAGUGGUGGUAAUAGUAAUAAUGAUGAUGGUAGUGAUUGCAGUUUAGUGGUGGGGGUAGUAGUAGUAAUGGUGAUUGUAGUGAUACCAGUUUAGUGACGGUGGU
RNAcentral lists this long non-coding RNA (1747 nucleotides) under Salmo salar (Atlantic salmon). Its description in RNAcentral is "lncRNA (ENSSSAG00000092903.1, ENSSSAG00000095406.1)". The record is from RNAcentral. Lineage: Eukaryota; Metazoa; Chordata; Actinopteri; Salmoniformes; Salmonidae.